This 1426-nucleotide ribosomal RNA is filed under the name metagenome. RNAcentral's name for it is "bacterial LSU rRNA". It matches the Rfam family "Bacterial large subunit ribosomal RNA", at positions 1480 to 2925 of the family's 2925-position model. The record is from RNAcentral.
UGAGAGCGUGAGCCGGGAAUGGAAAGACCGGUACAAGCGAGGUAGGAGAAGAGUUGGCAAAUCCGCUCUUUAAUCUGAAGACGUGAUGUGGACUGAAAAUAAGUAGGGAAGCACGUGAGCUGACUGUCAAGAAAAGCCGCUAUUGUUUGCAGGAUACCCGUACCGUAAACCGACACAGGUGGAUGAGGAGAGAAUCCUAAGGCCGACGGGAGAAGCAUUGUUAAGGAACUCGGCAAAAUGACUCCGUAACUUCGGGAGAAGGAGUGCCAGUAAGAUGGCCGCAGAGAAUUGGCCCAAGCAACUGUUUAGCAAAAACACAGGUCUAUGCAAAACCGAAAGGUGAGGUAUAUGGGCUGACGCCUGCCCGGUGCUGGAAGGUUAAGGGGAGAGGUUAGCGCAAGCGAAGCUUUGAACUUAAGCCCCAGUAAACGGCGGCCGUAACAAUAACGGUCCUAAGGUAGCGAAAUUCCUUGUCGGGUAAGUUCCAACCCGCACGAAAGGCGUAAUGAUUUGGGCACUGUCUCAACAAUGCACCCGGUGAAAUUGAAAUACCAGUGAAGAUGCUGGUUACCUGCGCCAGGACGGAAAGACCCCAUGGAGCUUUACUCCAGCUUGAUACUGGGAUUCGGUAUUGCAUGUACAGGAUAGGUGGGAGGCUAGGAAAUGGUAACGCCAGUUGCCAUGGAGCCGAUGUUGGGAUACCACCCUUGCAGUACUGGGUUUCUAACCAGCAGCCGUGAUCCGGCUGGGGGACAAUGUCAGGUGGGGAGUUUGACUGGGGCGGUCGCCUCCGAAAGGGUAUCGGAGGCGCUCAAAGGUUCCCUCAGAAUGGUUGGAAACCAUUCGAAGAGUGCAAAGGCAGAAGGGAGCUUGACUGCGACACCGACGGGUGGAGCAGGUACGAAAGUAGGACUUAGUGAUCCGGUGGUAUAAAGUGGGAUUGCCAUCGCUCAACGGAUAAAAGCUACCCUGGGAUAACAGGCUUAUCACUCCCAAGAGUUCACAUCGACGGAGUGGUUUGGCACCUCGAUGUCGGCUCAUCGCAUCCUGGGGCUGAAGUAGGUCCCAAGGGUUGGGCUGUUCGCCCAUUAAAGCGGUACGCGAGCUGGGUUCAGAACGUCGUGAGACAGUUCGGUCCCUAUCCGGCGUGGGCGUAAGAUAUUUGAGAGGAGCUGUCCUUAGUACGAGAGGACCGGGAUGGACUGGCCGCUGGUGUAUCUGUUGUCUUACCAAAGGCAUAGCAGAGUAGCCAAGCCGGGAAGGGAUAAACGCUGAAGGCAUCUAAGCGUGAAGCCCCACUCAAGAUGAGAUAUCUCAUAACGUCAAGUUAGUAAGACCCCUUGAAGACGACGAGGUAGAUAGGGCAGAGGUGGAAGUGUGGUAACACAUGGAGCUGACUGUUACUAAUAGGUCGAGGGCAUAACCA